AACGAACGCUGGCGGCGUGCUUAACACAUGCCAGUCGAACGGAAGGGCCCUGCUUUCGUGGGGUGCCCGAGUGGCGAACGGGUGAGUAGCACAUGAGUAACCUGCGCUUGACUUUGGGAUAACUUCAGGCAACUGCUGCUACUACCGGCUAGGAGCUCCUGCUGCAUGGGGGGGGUCGGAAAGUUUCGGCGGAGGGGGAUGGACUCGGGGGUAAUCAGCUGGUUGGUGGGGUAGUGGCUUACGAAGGCUUGGACGGGUAGCCGGCAUGGGAGGUGGACCGCCGACCAGGGGCCUGAGGGACGGCGCAGAGUCCUAUGGUGGGCAGCAGGGGGGAAUCUUGUCCAAUGGGCGCAAGUCUGUUGAAGCAAUGCUGCGAGCGGGAAGACGGUUUUGGGGGGGUAAACCGCAGUCGCCUGUGACGAAGCGGGAUUGACGGUAACGGGUAAAGAAGCACCGGCUAACUACGUG
This 468-nucleotide ribosomal RNA is filed under the name uncultured bacterium. RNAcentral describes it as "partial 16S ribosomal RNA". It matches the Rfam family "Bacterial small subunit ribosomal RNA", at positions 28 to 507 of the family's 1533-position model. The record is from RNAcentral.